RNAcentral lists this ribosomal RNA (1348 nucleotides) under uncultured Halomonas sp. Its description in RNAcentral is "bacterial SSU rRNA". It matches the Rfam family "Bacterial small subunit ribosomal RNA", at positions 81 to 1424 of the family's 1533-position model. Lineage: Bacteria; Pseudomonadati; Pseudomonadota; Gammaproteobacteria; Oceanospirillales; Halomonadaceae. The record is from RNAcentral.
UAGGAGGCGUCGAGCGGCGGACGGGUGAGUAAUGCAUAGGAAUCUGCCCGAUAGUGGGGGAUAACCUGGGGAAACUCAGGCUAAUACCGCAUACGUCCUACGGGAGAAAGCAGGGGAUCUUCGGACCUUGCGCUAUCGGAUGAGCCUAUGUCGGAUUAGCUAGUUGGUGAGGUAACGGCUCACCAAGGCGACGAUCCGUAGCUGGUCUGAGAGGAUGAUCAGCCACACUGGGACUGAGACACGGCCCAGACUCCUACGGGAGGCAGCAGUGGGGAAUAUUGGACAAUGGGGGAAACCCUGAUCCAGCCAUGCCGCGUGUGUGAAGAAGGCCUUCGGGUUGUAAAGCACUUUCAGCGAGGAAGAAAGCCUGGGGGCUAAUACCCCUCAGGAAGGACAUCACUCGCAGAAGAAGCACCGGCUAACUCCGUGCCAGCAGCCGCGGUAAUACGGAGGGUGCGAGCGUUAAUCGGAAUUACUGGGCGUAAAGCGCGCGUAGGUGGCUUGAUAAGCCGGUUGUGAAAGCCCCGGGCUCAACCUGGGAACGGCAUCCGGAACUGUCAGGCUAGAGUGCAGGAGAGGAAGGUAGAAUUCCCGGUGUAGCGGUGAAAUGCGUAGAGAUCGGGAGGAAUACCAGUGGCGAAGGCGGCCUUCUGGACUGACACUGACACUGAGGUGCGAAAGCGUGGGUAGCAAACAGGAUUAGAUACCCUGGUAGUCCACGCCGUAAACGAUGUCGACUAGCCGUUGGGGUCCUUGAGACCUUUGUGGCGCAGUUAACGCGAUAAGUCGACCGCCUGGGGGAGUACGGCCCGCAAGGUUAAAACUCAAAUGAAUUGACGGGGGCCCGCACAAGCGGUGGAGCAUGUGGGUUUAAUUCGAUGCAACGCGAAGAACCUUACCUACCCUUGACAUCGUGCGAACUUUCCAGAGAUGGAUUGGUGCCUUCGGGAACGCACAGACAGGUGCUGCAUGGCUGUCGUCAGCUCGUGUUGUGAAAUGUUGGGUUAAGUCCCGUAACGAGCGCAACCCUUGUCCCUAUUUGCCAGCGAUUCGGUCGGGAACUCUAGGGAGACUGCCGGUGACAAACCGGAGGAAGGUGGGGACGACGUCAAGUCAUCAUGGCCCUUACGGGUAGGGCUACACACGUGCUACAAUGGUCGGUACAAAGGGUUGCAAUGCCGCGAGGUGGAGCUAAUCCCAUAAAGCCGGUCUCAGUCCGGAUCGGAGUCUGCAACUCGACUCCGUGAAGUCGGAAUCGCUAGUAAUCGUGAAUCAGAAUGUCACGGUGAAUACGUUCCCGGGCCUUGUACACACCGCCCGUCACACCAUGGGAGUGGACUGCACCAGA